AUGGUGGGAGUGGCCGCCCCCAGAGCCGAGGGGAUACACAGUUGUCAUCGGAGCCCCCGGAGACCAGUGGCAUUCUCAGCCCCCACCAGCCAGCCCUGCAACUCUGCACCACGUCCUGUCCCCUCAGGAGAGCGCCCGUGGGACAGCACCCAGAUGUCUCUGAUGUCCUCCUCUGAAGGCCGCGUGGCCACCUCUUCAUGCGGUCCCCUGGGAGAUGUCCUCGGGAAGCCCGACAGGGACGCGGCGGUGCUCUCGGCCCCAACCCCACGCUGCCCCUUGCCGCAGGACACAUCCGCGGAGGAGGCGGAGACUGAAAAGCAUCAGCCCGUCCAGAGCGUGCGGGACGCCUGGAGGAAGGACGUACAGGCUGGGGAGCCCUCAGGCGUCUCAUCCCGGGGCCGGCUCCCAGCAGCAUCUGCCAGCAGCGGGCACCGCCAGAGGAAACUAGGCAUGGCCCUAGCCUGCCCCUGCCGCCACCGCUACCACUGCUGUGGGGUCGCGGGGACUUGCCCCCACCCCCUAAGCUUCCUUGCGUUGCCACCGACAAGGACCUGGGCCCCUUGCAGAACAGCGAGUGUCCGGGGAACGACACCUGGAAGGACAGAGCACAGACCCUGGCCGACCGCGGGCCGCUCAGCCUGCCCCUUCCUCCCCACUGGCCUCGGGGACGCAGGCUCUCCGCCUCCGGCCGCUCACGCUUCCCACGUCCGGGUGCCUCCCACCGACGGGGCUGACCCUCCUGCCAGGCCCGGAUCCUAUCUGUGCCUCCGUGUUCCCCAACACAGCGUGGUGGUCGGGAACCAGGACGUGUCCUUCCUCAAUCUCCUCCUCUUGCUGUUCCUGCUGAUUCUCUUCCUCCCCUUAGUUCCAGAGCCAUCGGGGAAACUCCGCUUCAGGGAGCUCCUCUUCCACCAGGCCGCCCAGGACAGCUCCCUCUGGCCGCCCCACACCUCCUACCACCUCGGCCUCCUUACACCCGCCUCCUGCACAAAAGCAUCCCCAAGCCCUGUGUGUGUAGACUCUGCCCCGCUCUUCCUGACAACCCCUCUUCCAGGCCACUCCACAGAGGGCUCCGUCGUCGGAGUCCAGCCUGGCCCCUCUAAGCCGACUUCUACCAUGGCAGCAAAGUCAUCUACUCUGACCCCCAAGCCGAUUUCACGUCCUGCUGUCGUGGACGUGGACACUGCGCCUGCUUCCCGGGCUGUCCUCAGCGCGCCCCCACACCGCAGGAUGAGCUGUCCUCCCUGUUCCCGGGGCCGCGGCAGUGUGACGCAGAGGUGCCCUGCGAAAGUGGCAGCAUCCACCAGUGCACCGACAUCGAUGGCCCCGGCCCCACCCCACGUCAUCAACUCUUCGGCCUCCACAUCACCCCUCAGCCCACACAGGGGACUCUUGCUGGGAGGCAGCAAACAGCUUUUCUUCCCGGUGCUCCUAUCGCCAUUGGCUUGCCCAACCUCAGUUCUGGAGCCACCACCACCCCAGGAGGCANCAUUUUUUACAAGGCACUUCCAGGUUCUGGCAACGCACCACCUAGUAGCAGCACUGCCUUGGCCCACGGUUCUACCAAUUUACCUAAAGUCAGCCNUCUCCACACUCCUCAUUCUACCACGACUGGCUUUGGAGGUCCGACUGGGAACACCAGCUCAUCACUCACAGCUACUACCACAGGCCUUGGUGGGGUCUGCAGUCCCCAGUGGCCCACGACUCACGGCUACCACUGCAGGCCCACAGGCCUUUGUGGGGUCUGCAGUCCCCAGUGGACCACCCAUCACAGCUAACACUACAGGCCCACAGACAUUUGUGGGGCCUGCGGUCCCCAGUGGGCCACCCCUCACGGCUACCACUACUGGCCCACAGACCUUUGUGGGGCCUGCGGUCCCCAGUGGGCCACCCCUCACGGCUAACACGACAGGCCCACAGGCCUUUGUGGGGUCGCAGUCCCCAGUGGCCCACCACUCACGGCUACCACUACUGGCCCACAGGCCUUUGUGGGGUCGCAGUCCCCAGUGGCCCACCACUCACGGCUACCACUACUGGCCCACAGGCCUUUGUGGGGUCGCAGUCCCCAGUGGCCCACCACUCACGGCUACCACUACUGGCCCACAGGCCUUUGUGGGGUCGCAGUCCCCAGUGGCCCACCCCUCAUGGCUAACACUACAGGCCCACAGACCUUUGUCGGGCCUGGAGUCCCCAGUGGCCCACCACUCAUGGAUACCACUACAGGCCCACAGAUGUCUGUGGGGCCUGCGGUCCCUGCUACCACUACAGGCCCACAGACCUUUGUGGCGCCUGCAGUCCCCAGUGGCCCAUCCCUCACGGCUAACACUACAGGCCCACAGACCUUUGUGGGGCCUGCAGUCCCCAGUGGCCCACCCCUCACGGCUAACAUUACAGGCCCACAGACCUUUGUCGGGCCUGGAGUCCCCAGUGGCCCACCCCUAA
Molecule: long non-coding RNA, 2442 nt
Organism: Vulpes vulpes (red fox)
Lineage: Eukaryota; Metazoa; Chordata; Mammalia; Carnivora; Canidae
Source: Ensembl